UACGGGGGGAGCAAGCGUUGUUCGGAUUUACUGGGCGUAAAGGGCGCGUAGGCGGUCGUGACAAGUCACUUGUGAAAUCUCCGGGCUCAACUCGGAGGGGCCACCCGAUACUGCUGUGACUCGAGUCCGGUAGGGGAGUGGGGAAUUCCUGGUGUAGCGGUGAAAUGCGCAGAUAUCAGGAGGAACACCGGUGGCGAAGGCGGGUCUCUGGGCAGUAACUGACGCUGAGGAGCGAAAGCGUGGGGAGCGAACAGG
This 255-nucleotide ribosomal RNA is filed under the name uncultured bacterium. Its description in RNAcentral is "partial 16S ribosomal RNA". It matches the Rfam family "Bacterial small subunit ribosomal RNA", at positions 524 to 776 of the family's 1533-position model. The record is from RNAcentral.